GAUGAACGCUGGCGGCGUGCUUAACACAUGCAAGUCGAACGUGAUCCAGCAGCAAUGUUGGUGAAAGUGGCAAACGGGUGAGUAACACGUAGAUGACCUGCCUCGGAGUGGGGGAUAACCACGGGAAACUGUGGCUAAUACCGCAUGGUUUGUCUGGUCUGGGAAGGCGAGACAAUAAAGCUUUAGUGCUCUGAGAGGGGUCUGCGUCCGAUUAGCUAGUUGGGGAGGUAACGGCUCACCAAGGCGAUGAUCGGUAGCUGGUCUGAGAGGACGAUCAGCCACACGGGAACUGCGACACGGUCCCGACUCCUACGGGUGGCAG
RNAcentral lists this ribosomal RNA (322 nucleotides) under uncultured Chloroflexota bacterium. Its description in RNAcentral is "bacterial SSU rRNA". It matches the Rfam family "Bacterial small subunit ribosomal RNA", at positions 28 to 351 of the family's 1533-position model. The record is from RNAcentral. Lineage: Bacteria; Bacillati; Chloroflexota.